CAACACUGGCGAUCUCUUAAAUAAGCCUCAUUCGUAAUCAUUACCACAGUAAUUGUCUAGAUAUAUGUGUGAACUUAUGAAACUUGGAUUUUUACAACUAUGGAUUUAUUUAACUUAUGGGAUUUAAAAAAGGCUUUAAAAUGAAAUGACUUACCGGAAAAGGACUUACGGAAGAUCCACCAGUGACUUAAGAUGAUACCGGGGAAGGUUUUCCGGUUUAUCCA
RNAcentral lists this unclassified non-coding RNA (224 nucleotides) under uncultured Bartonella sp. RNAcentral's name for it is "partial 16S-23S ribosomal RNA intergenic spacer". The record is from RNAcentral. Lineage: Bacteria; Pseudomonadati; Pseudomonadota; Alphaproteobacteria; Hyphomicrobiales; Bartonellaceae.